GAAGCCUUUUCCUUGGGGCCAUCUCAUCUCUCCUCUUUUGACUUUCUGUUUGUUGUUUGUUUUGGGCGGAGCGGAGCUGAACACAGAAAAUAAGUCGGUAUGAUCGCCCCCAAAAAAGAAAUGCUGCAUCUGACGCCAGCCUCUAACCUCACAGUAUUUUAAAAUUUCAAAACACAAGCAGCAGAGGCUUGGUCUGGCCCAACUCCCAAGCCGUUUGGGAAAUAGAGCACAAGGUUUCGGUAAUGCUUCCGGCCAGGGUAUUAUUAGCAAGGCCAUCUCCAGGCAGGUAUUGAUCACAGAGGAGCUGUUACCAGGAUGACACUGAUGCUGUGAGUUUCAGGACUUGGCUCAGCUGGCUCAUCCCGGGGCCACCUCCAGAUGAGGAGCUGGAAUGGAGACAUGUUAUAUCUUCAUGAAAGACACACGGCACGAUGGGACCACUGCCAGGACCCAGGCCCAGCGUGCAAGCUACUCCAUUCAUUUCUUCUUUCGGGAAACUUAUCAGUAAGCAUCGACUGUCUUGAGGCCCUAAGGAGGCAAAAAUAAAUAAAACAUGGCUCCUUCUCUAGAGGCGUGAACAAGGUAAUGGAUAGACAAGUAAAUACAUAAUUUCAGCACUACGCAAAAGGCAAAGCAAGCAGGCGAGCGCAAAGUGCCGAGGAAACAUUUCCACGGCUGCGUCUGCCUGUGGGUUGGAGAGGGACUCAGAGAGGACAACUGCGGAGGCUUAGGUUGGAAAAGGAGGAAGGCCUCUGCCUGCAGACGGAUGCAGCCUUGCAGACAAGGCAGGAGACAUGAAAAAGUGGGGUGUGUUUCCAGACCAGGCAGUUUUAGAGUCCAGGCCCCUGGAUGGAAAAAGUAAGCAGAAAGCAAGACUAGGGUCACAAGGUGGAUGGCUUUAGUGGCCUUCUAACUAUUGAGGGUCUAAUACCUGCCCCAACACAGGCUGGAAUACUUUUUUGUAUGUCAGAAACCCUUCUCUCUCUGCCCCUGAGAAAGGGCAACUCAAAAUAUCUGGCCGGUGGGCAACACCAGCCCGUUGAGUGAGGUUCCCACAUUGCCCCUGUGAUAAACUUACCAGGGUGCCCUCCAAAGGACAAAGCAGGCCCUGAGACUGAAGACUUCACUUCUGGCACCUGACUAAAUAGAAGAGAACUUUGCUUUUCUGCAAGGAAUGUAGAGAAACUCAGUCUAUUCCUGAACUGUUGAAUAAUUUCUCACUUGCCCGUUAGUGCUCAGCUCACCUUCAUUCCCAGUCUUCUCUACUGGGCUUUGCCAAGCUGCUCCUUAUUACCUGCAGCGUGGGUCUCUCAGAGGCAAUGAGACCAUUAUUAGUACCCCUUCCCUGUCACCUGAAAGAGAAGUGUUAAUAUGCAUCCCCGGAAGCCUGACGCACAGCAGCCACGGAACCGGUGCUGGAGUGCCCUGAGAACCACCACCUCCCUCUGAUCUCAUUGUCACCUAUUUCUGAAGUGCAGAGCUGGGACUUGAGAAGUGGCGCUCUUGAUAAUAGCAGGAGGCGUCUUGCAGAUCUGGGUUAGCUUCCUGAUUGUACUCUGGGUAAAUAAUUAGCGCUUCUCUCCAGCGGCCUGUGCUCCAAAUCUCCACUCACCAGGGACAACAAGCAGGGGGACGUUCGAGUCCUGCCAAGGAUGUCCCUGGGGAUGAGUAGCAUUCCCUGUUCUCUCACCUGCUGUGUUUGCCACUGGGCCCCUCGCCCGGCACCAUGACAGCGCUGAUGGGAUAGCUCACGUCAGCAGCGCCCACCGAUCGCACGUGCAGGCUGCUGCUCUGUAAAGAGGUUGUCCGGCCCAGGCACUCGCCUGCUCCCCAGCAACGUACAAGAUCCACUUCUGCAGCCACUAGCACUUGCGCUGUCUUUGCACCUCUCUCCCUUCCCUUUGGAUGUGCUAAAUUGAGAUACAAAUGAAGCUGAAAAGAACCCAAAUUCUUUGACGGGGAAUACACUUCGAAGGAGAAGGAAAGAAAAUCUCUCGGGGUGACUAUAUUUACUCCACCGCAG
Non-coding RNA from Microcebus murinus (gray mouse lemur), 2023 nucleotides. The record is from RefSeq and is a predicted model, not a curated record. Lineage: Eukaryota; Metazoa; Chordata; Mammalia; Primates; Cheirogaleidae.